CGGUAGCUCAGUUGGUAGAGCACCUGCCUUUUAAGCCGGUUGUCCGGGGUUCGAGCCCCC
RNAcentral lists this transfer RNA (60 nucleotides) under human gut metagenome. It matches the Rfam family "tRNA", at positions 7 to 62 of the family's 71-position model. From Rfam's summary of the family: Transfer RNA (tRNA) molecules are approximately 80 nucleotides in length. Their secondary structure includes four short double-helical elements and three loops (D, anti-codon, and T loops). Further hydrogen bonds mediate the characteristic L-shaped molecular structure. tRNAs have two regions of fundamental functional importance: the anti-codon, which is responsible for specific mRNA codon recognition, and the 3' end, to which the tRNAs corresponding amino acid is attached (by aminoacyl-tRNA synthetases). tRNAs cope with the degeneracy of the genetic code in two manners: having more than one tRNA (with a specific anti-codon) for a particular amino acid; and 'wobble' base-pairing, i.e. permitting non-standard base-pairing at the 3rd anti-codon position. The record is from RNAcentral. RNAcentral also lists the same sequence under 1 other name.